UUAAGUUCAGCGGGUAUUCCUACCUGAUCUGAGGUCAACCUUAGAAGUUGGGGUUUUACGGCAGGGGCUCGCCGCUCUCCGGUGCGAAAUAUCACUACUACGCAGAGGAGGCUACAGCGAGUCCGCCACUAGAUUUAGGGGCCGGCCGUCCCUCGCGGGCUUUGGCCGAUCCCCAACACCACGCCCUAGGGGCAUGAGGG
Molecule: unclassified non-coding RNA, 200 nt
Filed under: Bionectriaceae sp.
Lineage: Eukaryota; Fungi; Ascomycota; Sordariomycetes; Hypocreales; Bionectriaceae
Description: partial internal transcribed spacer 2
Source: RNAcentral